This 253-nucleotide ribosomal RNA is filed under the name uncultured bacterium. RNAcentral's name for it is "partial 16S ribosomal RNA". It matches the Rfam family "Bacterial small subunit ribosomal RNA", at positions 524 to 776 of the family's 1533-position model. The record is from RNAcentral.
UACGUAGGGGGCAAGCGUUGUCCGGAUUGACUGGGCGUAAAGCGCACGCAGGCGGAUGCGCGCGUGGGGUGUGAAAUCUGGCCGCUUAACGGCCAGGCGCCAUCCCAUACGGCGCGUCUGGAGUGAUGCAGAGGUCGAUGGAAUUGCCGGUGUAGUGGUGAAAUGCGUAGAGAUCGGCAGGAACACCCAGGGGGAAACCAGUCGACUGGGCAUCUACUGACGCUGAGGUGCGAGAGCGUGGGGAGCGAACCGG